RNAcentral lists this ribosomal RNA (440 nucleotides) under uncultured bacterium. RNAcentral describes it as "bacterial SSU rRNA". It matches the Rfam family "Bacterial small subunit ribosomal RNA", at positions 338 to 768 of the family's 1533-position model. The record is from RNAcentral.
CCUACGGGUGGCUGCAGUCGAGAAUAUUUGGCAAUGGGCGAAAGCCUGACCAUGCGACGCCGCGUGCGGGAUGAAGGCCUUCGGGUCGUAAACCGCUGUUACGAGGAACGAAGAUCCCGCUGGUGAACAAUCGGCGGGAAGUGACGGUACCUCGAGAGAAAGCCACGGCUAACUCCGUGCCAGCAGCCGCGGUAAUACGGAGGUGGCAAGCGUUGCUCGGAUUUACUGGGUGUAAAGGGCACGUAGGCGGUUCCAUAAGCCCUGCUUGAAAUACUUCGGCUCAACCAAAGUAGGCGGCAGGGGACUGCGGAACUUGAGGAUGGGAGAGGCGAGCGGAAUUCCCGGUGUAAGGGUGAAAUCUGUAGAGAUCGGGAGGAACACCAGUGGCGAAAGCGGCUCGCUGGCCCAUAUCUGACGCUGAGGUGCGAAAGCUAGGGGAG